AGAGUUUGAUCCUGGCUCAGGACGAACGCUGGCGGCGCGCCUAACACAUGCAAGUCGAACGAGCGAGAGAGAGCUUGCUUUCUCGAGCGAGUGGCGAACGGGUGAGUAACGCGUGAGGAACCUGCCUCAAAGAGGGGGACAACAGUUGGAAACGACUGCUAAUACCGCAUAAGCCCACAGGUCGGCAUCGACCAGAGGGAAAAGGAGCAAUCCGCUUUGAGAUGGCCUCGCGUCCGAUUAGCUAGUUGGUGAGGUAAUGGCCCACCAAGGCGACGAUCGGUAGCCGGACUGAGAGGUUGAACGGCCACAUUGGGACUGAGACACGGCCCAGACUCCUACGGGAGGCAGCAGUGGGGAAUAUCGCACAAUGGGGGAAACCCUGAUGCAGCGACGCCGCGUGGAGGAAGAAGGUCUUCGGAUUGUAAACUCCUGUUGUUGAGGAAGAUAAUGACGGUACUCAACAAGGAAGUGACGGCUAACUACGUGCCAGCAGCCGCGGUACAACGUAUGUCACAAGCGUUGUCCGGAAUGACUGGGUGUAAAGGGAGUGCAUGUGGGAACACAAGUUGGAAGUGAAAUCUAUGGGCUCAACCCAGAAACUGCUUUCGAAAGUGUUCCACUUGAGUAGUGCACAGGUACGCGGAAUUCCCGGUGUACCGGUGGAAUGAGUAGAUUUCGGGAGGAAACCAGUGGUGAAGCGGUCUACUGGGCACCAACUGACGCUGAGGCUCGAAAGUGUGGGUAGCANACAGGAUUAGAUACCCUGGUAGUCCACACCGUAAACGAUGAUUACUAGGUGUUGGAGGAUUGACCCCUUCAGUGCCGCAGUUAACACAAUAAGUAAUCCACCUGGGGAGUACGACCGCAAGGUUGAAACUCAAAGGAAUUGACGGGGGCCCGCACAAGCAGUGGAGUAUGUGGUUUAAUUCGACGCAACGCGAAGAACCUUACCAAGUCUUGACAUCCUGCGACGCACAUAGAAAUAUGUGUUUCCUUCGGGACGCAGAGACAGGUGGUGCAUGGUUGUCGUCAGCUCGUGUCGUGAGAUGUUGGGUUAAGUCCCGCAACGAGCGCAACCCUUACUGUCAGUUACUACGCAAGAGGACUCUGGCAGGACUGCCGUUGACAAAACGGAGGAAGGUGGGGAUGACGUCAAAUCAUCAUGCCCUUUAUGACUUGGGCUACACACGUACUACAAUGGCGUUAAACAAAGAGAAGCAAGACCGCGAGGUGGAGCAAAACUCAGAAACAACGUCCCAGUUCGGACUGCAGGCGGCAACUCGCCUGCACGAAGUCGGAAUUGCUAGUAAUCGUGGAUCAGCAUGCCACGGUGAAUACGUUCCCGGGCCUGUACACACCGCCCGUC
This 1366-nucleotide ribosomal RNA is filed under the name uncultured bacterium. RNAcentral's name for it is "bacterial SSU rRNA". It matches the Rfam family "Bacterial small subunit ribosomal RNA". The record is from RNAcentral.